RNAcentral lists this non-coding RNA (75 nucleotides) under Lotharella globosa. The record is from RNAcentral. Lineage: Eukaryota; Cercozoa; Chlorarachniophyceae.
GAGCAACAACGAACAACCCAAAAGCCACAAGCAGACACAAAAAAACGCAACAAAUAUACGCUCAUUUGUACAUGC